AGACAGAUCACCCCAUCAUGCUGAAUAAGUUAUCAGAGAGAGCAAAGGGAAAGGAUUCAUCCCAAAGGGAAAAAGAUAAAGGUGGACACGUGGAAAAAAGAUCAGGAAUAUGUUCCUGUUGGGUUAAAAACUGAAGUUGAUGAGCAGCCAUCUAAUAUGGCACGGAUUCCUUAUUUUAUGCAGGUAUUGAUAUUUCUGAAAAAGUGCCAGCCACCACCUUGAGUAAUAUCAAUAAAUAUAUGUCCAGCAAUUCA
This 254-nucleotide long non-coding RNA is filed under the name Chloebia gouldiae (Gouldian finch). Its description in RNAcentral is "Erythrura gouldiae (Gouldian finch) lncRNA (ENSEGOG00005018797.1)". The record is from RNAcentral. Lineage: Eukaryota; Metazoa; Chordata; Aves; Passeriformes; Passeridae.